GACGAACGCUGGCGGCGUGCUUAACACAUGCAAGUCGAACGGAAAGGCCCAGCUUGCUGGGUGCUCGAGUGGCGAACGGGUGAGUAACACGUGGGUGAUCUGCCCCUAACUUCGGGAUAAGCUUGGGAAACUGGGUCUAAUACCGGAUAGGACAAUCGUUUAGUGUCGGUUGUGGAAAGUUUUUUCGGUUAGGGAUGAGCCCGCGGCCUAUCAGCUUGUUGGUGGGGUAAUGGCCUACCAAGGCGUCGACGGGUAGCCGGCCUGAGAGGGUGGACGGCCACAUUGGGACUGAGAUACGGCCCAGACUCCUACGGGAGGCAGCAGUGGGGAAUAUUGCACAAUGGGCGCAAGCCUGAUGCAGCGACGCCGCGUGGGGGAUGACGGCCUUCGGGUUGUAAACCUCUUUCGACAGGGACGAAGCUUUGGUGACGGCACCUGUAUAAGAAGCACCGGCUAACUACGUG
Molecule: ribosomal RNA, 464 nt
Filed under: uncultured bacterium
Lineage: Bacteria
Description: partial 16S ribosomal RNA
Rfam family: Bacterial small subunit ribosomal RNA
Source: RNAcentral